Molecule: ribosomal RNA, 1470 nt
Filed under: metagenome
Description: bacterial SSU rRNA
Rfam family: Bacterial small subunit ribosomal RNA
Source: RNAcentral
AGAGUUUGAUCCUGGCUCAGGACGAACGCUGGCGGCACGCUUAACACAUGCAAGUCGAACGAGAGAAGAGGAGCUUGCUUUUCUGAUCUAGUGGCGGACGGGUGAGUAACACGUGAGCAAUCUGCCUUUCAGAGGGGGAUACCGAUUGGAAACGAUCGUUAAUACCGCAUAACAUAACUGAACCGCAUGAUUUGAUUAUCAAAGAUUUAUCGCUGAAAGAUGAGCUCGCGUCUGAUUAGCUAGUUGGUAAGGUAACGGCUUACCAAGGCGACGAUCAGUAGCCGGACUGAGAGGUUGAUCGGCCACAUUGGGACUGAGACACGGCCCAGACUCCUACGGGAGGCAGCAGUGGGGAAUAUUGCACAAUGGAGGAAACUCUGAUGCAGCGAUGCCGCGUGAGGGAAGAAGGUUUUAGGAUUGUAAACCUCUGUCUUCAGGGACGAAAAAAGACGGUACCUGAGGAGGAAGCUCCGGCUAACUACGUGCCAGCAGCCGCGGUAAUACGUAGGGAGCGAGCGUUGUCCGGAAUUACUGGGUGUAAAGGGAGCGUAGGCGGGAUCGCAAGUCAGAUGUGAAAACUAUGGGCUUAACCCAUAAACUGCAUUUGAAACUGUGGUUCUUGAGUGAAGUAGAGGUAAGCGGAAUUCCUAGUGUAGCGGUGAAAUGCGUAGAUAUUAGGAGGAGCAUCAGUGGCGAAGGCGGCUUACUGGGCUUUAACUGACGCUGAGGCUCGAAAGCGUGGGGAGCAAACAGGAUUAGAUACCCUGGUAGUCCACGCCGUAAACGAUGAUUACUAGGUGUGGGGGGACUGACCCCUUCCGUGCCGCAGCAAACGCAAUAAGUAAUCCACCUGGGGAGUACGACCGCAAGGUUGAAACUCAAAGGAGUUGACGGGGGCCCGCACAAGCAGUGGAGUAUGUGGAUUAAUUCGAAGCAACGCGAAGAACCUUACCAGGUCUUGACAUCGUAUGCAUAGCUCAGAGAUGAGUGAAAUCUCUUCGGAGACAUAUAGACAGGUGGUGCAUGGUUGUCGUCAGCUCGUGUCGUGAGAUGUUGGGUUAAGUCCCGCAACGAGCGCAACCCUUACUGUUAGUUGCUACGCAAGAGCACUCUAGCAGGACUGCCGUUGACAAAACGGAGGAAGGUGGGGAUGACGUCAAAUCAUCAUGCCCCUUAUGACCUGGGCCUCACACGUACUACAAUGGCUGUCAACAGAGGGAAGCAAAGCCGCGAGGUGGAGCGAACCCCUAAAAGCAGUCUUAGUUCGGAUUGUAGGCUGCAACCCGCCUACAUGAAGUCGGAAUUGCUAGUAAUCGCAGAUCAGCAUGCUGCGGUGAAUACGUUCCCGGGCCUUGUACACACCGCCCGUCACGCCAUGGGAGUCGGUAACACCCGAAGCCUGUAGUCUAACCGCAAGGAGGACGCAGUCGAAGGUGGGAUUGAUGACUGGGGUGAAGUCGUAACAAGGUA